CCCACAUCCAUCCCACCAUAACAUAAAGAAAAUGAGUCACUAAUAACAUCCUUUUCAACAAGCUGGUCUACAACACUGAGCCGACCACGACCCAACCCCAUUAUUCCAUCAGCACGUUGGCUGAAAAGGUCACCAGUUUCGACAUUUUCACAGCCAAAAACAGCGUGCUUAGGUGUGAGCUCACUUUCAUUUCCAAAAGAAAUAACAUCCUCAGCAAGCACACCACUGCUAGAACUCAUCUCAGCAUACCGUCUCUCAUAAGUGCAUUGCUUUCCCUCGUCAUCACAGUUACAACUGGGAUUGCACUUUAUAGGUUUGUAGGUGCUAGAUGCCUCUGGUUGGAACCUUGGAUCCUGAUGCUUGCCGCA
This 368-nucleotide unclassified non-coding RNA is filed under the name Hevea brasiliensis (rubber tree). The record is from RNAcentral. Lineage: Eukaryota; Viridiplantae; Streptophyta; Magnoliopsida; Malpighiales; Euphorbiaceae.